GCCGCCGUAGCUCAGUGGCAGAGCACAUCCUUGGUAAGGAUGGGGUCGACAGUUCAAUUCUGUCCGGCGGCACCA
This 75-nucleotide transfer RNA is filed under the name Alphaproteobacteria bacterium. RNAcentral describes it as "tRNA-Thr". It matches the Rfam family "tRNA". Rfam says of the family: Transfer RNA (tRNA) molecules are approximately 80 nucleotides in length. Their secondary structure includes four short double-helical elements and three loops (D, anti-codon, and T loops). Further hydrogen bonds mediate the characteristic L-shaped molecular structure. tRNAs have two regions of fundamental functional importance: the anti-codon, which is responsible for specific mRNA codon recognition, and the 3' end, to which the tRNAs corresponding amino acid is attached (by aminoacyl-tRNA synthetases). tRNAs cope with the degeneracy of the genetic code in two manners: having more than one tRNA (with a specific anti-codon) for a particular amino acid; and 'wobble' base-pairing, i.e. permitting non-standard base-pairing at the 3rd anti-codon position. The record is from RNAcentral. RNAcentral also lists the same sequence under 1 other name. Lineage: Bacteria; Pseudomonadati; Pseudomonadota; Alphaproteobacteria.